CAGUCGCCACGGGAACACGGAGGAUCCAAGCGUUAUCCGGAAUCAUUGGGUUUAAAGGGUCCGUAGGCGGUCUUGUAAGUCAGUGGUGAAAGCCCAUCGCUCAACGGUGGAACGGCCAUUGAUACUGCAGGACUUGAAUUAUUGGGAAGUAACUAGAAUAUGUAGUGUAGCGGUGAAAUGCUUAGAGAUUACAUGGAAUACCAAUUGCGAAGGCAGGUUACUACCAAUUGAUUGACGCUGAUGGACGAAAGCGUGGGUAGCGAACAGGAUUAGAUACCCCCGUAGUCCCUGUCUCUUAUAA
RNAcentral lists this ribosomal RNA (301 nucleotides) under uncultured bacterium. RNAcentral's name for it is "partial 16S ribosomal RNA". It matches the Rfam family "Bacterial small subunit ribosomal RNA", at positions 509 to 809 of the family's 1533-position model. The record is from RNAcentral.